UUUGAUCGGAGGCAGGGGGUGGUCUCCAAUCAAACAGAGAAAAGGUCCUGGAGAAGUUUUCUUAUCUGGAGUCAAAGCUUCAUGACAAUUUCAAAGAAAGGAAAAUAAAGAACGAUCUUCUGGCAGAUAGGUGACUCCACCACUACAUUGCAGCAGUACUAUGGUAUAAACGCAUUAAGGUACACAGCCUGAAG
This is a long non-coding RNA of Lacerta agilis (Sand lizard), 194 nucleotides long. RefSeq lists it as uncharacterized. The transcript is spliced from 3 exons. NCBI's taxonomy places the organism in Eukaryota, Metazoa, Chordata, Lepidosauria, Squamata, Lacertidae. The record is from RefSeq and is a predicted model, not a curated record.